Molecule: ribosomal RNA, 447 nt
Filed under: uncultured bacterium
Lineage: Bacteria
Description: bacterial SSU rRNA
Rfam family: Bacterial small subunit ribosomal RNA
Source: RNAcentral
UCCAGACUCCUACGGGAGGCAGCAGUGGGGGAUAUUGCACAAUGGGGGGAACCCUGAUGCAGCGACGCCGCGUGGGUGAAGAAGCGCCUCGGCGCGUAAAGCCCUGUCAGCAGGGAAGAAAAUGACGGUACCUAAAGAAGAAGCCCCGGCUAACUACGUGCCAGCAGCCGCGGUAAUACGUAGGGGGCAAGCGUUAUCCGGAUUUACUGGGUGUAAAGGGAGCGUAGACGGCAGAGCAAGUCUGAAGUGAAAGCCCGCGGCCCAACUGCGGGACUGCUUUGGAAACUGCCCGGCUAGAGUGCUGGAGAGGUAAGCGGAAUUCCUAGUGUAGCGGUGAAAUGCGUAGAUAUUAGGAGGAACACCAGUGGCGAAGGCGGCUUACUGGACAGUAACUGACGUUGAGGCUCGAAAGCGUGGGGAGCAAACAGGAUUAGAUACCCGCGUAAA